GACGAACGCUGGCGGCGUGCCUAAUACAUGCAAGUAGAACGCUGAAGAGAGGAGCUUGCUCUUCUUGGAUGAGUUGCGAACGGGUGAGUAACGCGUAGGUAACCUGCCUUGUAGCGGGGGAUAACUAUUGGAAACGAUAGCUAAUACCGCAUAACAAUGGAUGACACAUGUCAUUUAUUUGAAAGGGGCAAUUGCUCCACUACAAGAUGGACCUGCGUUGUAUUAGCUAGUAGGUGAGGUAAUGGCUCACCUAGGCGACGAUACAUAGCCGACCUGAGAGGGUGAUCGGCCACACUGGGACUGAGACACGGCCCAGACUCCUACGGGAGGCAGCAGUAGGGAAUCUUCGGCAAUGGGGGCAACCCUGACCGAGCAACGCCGCGUGAGUGAGGAAGGGUUUCGGAUCGUAAAGCUCUGUUGUAAGUCAAGAACGGGUGUGAGAGUGGAAAGUUCACACUGUGACGGUAGCUUACCAGAAAGGGACGGCUAACUACGUG
This 497-nucleotide ribosomal RNA is filed under the name uncultured bacterium. RNAcentral's name for it is "partial 16S ribosomal RNA". It matches the Rfam family "Bacterial small subunit ribosomal RNA", at positions 28 to 507 of the family's 1533-position model. The record is from RNAcentral.